RNAcentral lists this ribosomal RNA (480 nucleotides) under uncultured Glomus. RNAcentral's name for it is "SSU rRNA". It matches the Rfam family "Eukaryotic small subunit ribosomal RNA", at positions 569 to 1055 of the family's 1831-position model. The record is from RNAcentral. Lineage: Eukaryota; Fungi; Glomeromycota; Glomeromycetes; Glomerales; Glomeraceae.
AGCAGCCGCGGUAAUUCCAGCUCCAAUAGCGUAUAUUAAAGUUGUUGCAGUUAAAAAGCUCGUAGUUGAAUUUCGGGAUCAAUAUGUUGGUCGUGCCUCGGUACGUACUAGCUUAUUGGUUUCUCCUUUCUGAAGAACCAUGAUGUCAUUUAUUUGGUGUCGUGGGGAAUCAGGACUGUUACUUUAGAAAAAUUAGAGUGUUUAAAGCAGGCUCACGCUUGAAUACAUUAGCAUGGAAUAAUGAAAUAGGACGUUUGAUUCUAUUUUGUUGGUUUCUAGGAUCGACGUAAUGAUUAAUAGGGAUAGUUGGGGGCAUUAGUAUUCAAUUGUCAGAGGUGAAAUUCUUGGAUUUAUUGAAGACUAACUACUGCGAAAGCAUUUGCCAAGGAUGUUUUCAUUAAUCAAGAACGAAAGUUAGGGGAUCGAAGACGAUCAGAUACCGUCGUAGUCUUAACCAUAAACUAUGCCGACUAGGGAUCG